UCCGGUUUGUCACCGGCAGUCUCCUUAGAGUUCCCACCAUUACGUGCUGGCAACUAAGAUCAAGGGUUGCGCUCGUUACGGGACUUAACCCAACAUCUCACGACACGAGCUGACGACAACCAUGCACCACCUGUCACCACUGUCCCCGAAGGGAAAGGUAUAUCUCUAUACCGGUCAGUGGGAUGUCAAGACCUGGUAAGGUUCUUCGCGUAGCUUCGAAUUAAACCACAUGCUCCACCGCUUGUGCGGGUCCCCGUCAAUUCCUUUGAGUUUCAGCCUUGCGGCCGUACUCCCCAGGCGGAGUGCUUAAUGCGUUUGCUGCAGCACUAAGGGGCGGAAACCCCCUAACACUUAGCACUCAUCGUUUACGGCGUGGACUAC
This 381-nucleotide unclassified non-coding RNA is filed under the name uncultured Caryophanaceae bacterium. Its description in RNAcentral is "uncultured Planococcaceae bacterium contains 16S-23S intergenic spacer region". The record is from RNAcentral. Lineage: Bacteria; Bacillati; Bacillota; Bacilli; Caryophanales; Caryophanaceae.